RNAcentral lists this ribosomal RNA (690 nucleotides) under uncultured Alphaproteobacteria bacterium. Its description in RNAcentral is "bacterial SSU rRNA". It matches the Rfam family "Bacterial small subunit ribosomal RNA", at positions 69 to 790 of the family's 1533-position model. The record is from RNAcentral. Lineage: Bacteria; Pseudomonadati; Pseudomonadota; Alphaproteobacteria.
AGACCCGGAGCUUGCUCCGGAAUUCUUAGUGGCGAACGGGUGAGUAACGCGUGGGAAUCUACCUAGAAAUGGGGAAUAACUAUUGGAAACGAUAGCUAAUACCGCAUAAUCCCCUUGGGGCAAAGGCUUCGGCCGUUUUUAGAUGAGCCCGCGUUAGAUUAGGCUGUUGGUGAGGUAAUGGCUCACCAAACCUACAAUCUAUAGCUGGUCUGAGAGGAUGAUCAGCCACACUGGGACUGAGACACGGCCCAGACUCCUACGGGAGGCAGCAGUGGGGAAUAUUGGACAAUGGGGGAAACCCUGAUCCAGCAAUGCCGCGUGAGUGAUGAAGGCCUUAGGGUUGUAAAGCUCUUUCAGAAGUGAAGAUGAUGACGGUAACUUCAGAAGAAGCUCCGGCUAACUCCGUGCCAGCAGCCGCGGUAAUACGGAGGGAGCUAGCGUUGUUCGGAAUUACUGGGCGUAAAGAGCGUGUAGGCUGUUAGGUAAGUCAGAGGUGAAAUCCCUAAGCUCAACUUAGGAACUGCCUUUGAUACUAUCUUACUAGAGAUCGAGAGAAGUUGGCGGAAUUCCAAGUGUAGAGGUGAAAUUCGUAGAUAUUUGGAAGAACACCAGUGGCGAAAGCGGCCAACUGGCUCGUUUCUGACGCUAAGACGCGAAAGCGUGGGUAGCAAACAGGAUUAGAUACCCUGG